GGGUAGUUAGCUCAGCGGUAGAGCUUCUGCCUUACAAGCAGACUGUCACAGGUUCAAAUCCUGUACUACCCA
Molecule: transfer RNA, 72 nt
Filed under: Eustigmatophyceae sp. Mont 10/10-1w
Lineage: Eukaryota; Eustigmatophyceae
Description: tRNA-Val
Rfam family: tRNA
About the family: Transfer RNA (tRNA) molecules are approximately 80 nucleotides in length. Their secondary structure includes four short double-helical elements and three loops (D, anti-codon, and T loops).
Source: RNAcentral